This 832-nucleotide unclassified non-coding RNA is filed under the name Hevea brasiliensis (rubber tree). Lineage: Eukaryota; Viridiplantae; Streptophyta; Magnoliopsida; Malpighiales; Euphorbiaceae. The record is from RNAcentral.
AUGGUAAAAGAAUAUAAAAUUCUUUUCAAAUGUAUAUUGAAAUUUUAAUUUCAUUAAAUAUUAAGAAUCCUUGAAUAAAAAUUAAUCCUAUUUUAUAUUGCAAACAAAAUUUUAUACGUCUUGUAUUUAUGUCGAAAUAAUUGCGAUUGUACUUCAAAAUACUAUGAACAAAAUUAUAUAUCAAAUUUGGAGGGCCAAUUUCAAACUACUGUGAACAAAACUAUAAAUCAAAUUUGGGGGGCCAAUGAGAUAAAAAUAAUUUGUCAAUCACCCACGUCUAUGAAAAUUUGAAGGGCUUUGGGGCCCUGCUACAUUAGAUCCCAAGCAUGAUAUGACCAGCUAAAUUUAUCAUCCUUAAUAGUCUUGACUAAUUUGCAGAUGCAUCUCAAUCUCUCCAUCUAUGCCCACAAUUAGGGUUGCAGCAUACAAAGAACAGCGUCAUACCUUCCUCUCCCCUAGCAGUUGCCUGGAAGAAGACAGCUUCUUGAUGGUUGCACAUGCUGCACUUAACGGAUUUAGUGCGAGGAAGUGUUGGAUCUGCAGCUACAUCCUGCAGUACCUGAGUCCGCUCUGCUACAGAGUGAUGUACCUCAUUUCUGUAUACACAGUUAUUUUCAGCAAUUUCCUGAUGAUCGCAAUUGCGGCAAGCAUAGAGGAGGAUCUUCUGUUCCUUAUCCUCCUUAGGGUAGAGAAUGUUGUUGCACUCGCGACAAAAUUUCAUGGUACUCAUCUUGAAAAGCCUUCGAUAGUGAAUAGAAACGAAUGAAGAAUCGGAAAAUAGGGUUUUCUUGGCGGGUGAGGGUUUUUGCAGUGACUGCUAGAGAGCCUGUUC